ACGCAGGGGGGCUCUACCAUGCAGUCGACGGUGAACACGGAGCUUGCUCUGUGGGAUCAGUGGCGAACGGGUGAGUAACACGUGAGCAACCUGCCCCUGACUCUGGGAUAAGCGCUGGAAACGGCGUCUAAUACUGGAUAUGUGACGUGACCGCAUGGUCUGCGUCUGGAAAGAAUUUCGGUUGGGGAUGGGCUCGCGGCCUAUCAGCUUGUUGGUGAGGUAAUGGCUCACCAAGGCGUCGACGGGUAGCCGGCCUGAGAGGGUGACCGGCCACACUGGGACUGAGACACGGCCCAGACUCCUACGGGAGGCAGCAGUGGGGAAUAUUGCACAAUGGGCGCAAGCCUGAUGCAGCAACGCCGCGUGAGGGACGACGGCCUUCGGGUUGUAAACCUCUUUUAGCAGGGAAGAAGCGAAAGUGACGGUACCUGCAGAAAAAGCGCCGGCUAACUACGUGCCAGCAGCCGCGGUAAUACGUAGGGCGCAAGCGUUAUCCGGAAUUAUUGGGCGUAAAGAGCUCGUAGGCGGUUUGUCGCGUCUGCUGUGAAAUCCGGAGGCUCAACCUCCGGCCUGCAGUGGGUACGGGCAGACUAGAGUGCGGUAGGGGAGAUUGGAAUUCCUGGUGUAGCGGUGGAAUGCGCAGAUAUCAGGAGGAACACCGAUGGCGAAGGCAGAUCUCUGGGCCGUAACUGACGCUGAGGAGCGAAAGGGUGGGGAGCAAACAGGCUUAGAUACCCUGGUAGUCCACCCCGUAAACGUUGGGAACUAGUUGUGGGGUCCAUUCCACGGAUUCCGUGACGCAGCUAACGCAUUAAGUUCCCCGCCUGGGGAGUACGGCCGCAAGGCUAAAACUCAAAGGAAUUGACGGGGACCCGCACAAGCGGCGGAGCAUGCGGAUUAAUUCGAUGCAACGCGAAGAACCUUACCAAGGCUUGACAUAUACGAGAACGGGCCAGAAAUGGUCAACUCUUUGGACACUCGUAAACAGGUGGUGCAUGGUUGUCGUCAGCUCGUGUCGUGAGAUGUUGGGUUUAAGUCCCGCAACGAGCGCAACCCUCGUUCUAUGUUGCCAGCACGUAAUGGUGGGAACUCAUGGGAUACUGCCCGGGGUCACUCGGAGACGUGGGGAUGACGUCAAUCAUCAUGCCCCCUUAUGUCUUGGGGCUUUCACG
Molecule: ribosomal RNA, 1172 nt
Filed under: Microbacterium maritypicum
Lineage: Bacteria; Bacillati; Actinomycetota; Actinomycetes; Micrococcales; Microbacteriaceae
Description: bacterial SSU rRNA
Rfam family: Bacterial small subunit ribosomal RNA
Source: RNAcentral